CUCCCGCCGGCGACCGGCGCACGGGUGAGUAACACAUAUGAAACCUGCCCGUAGCAGGGGGAUAAGCGGAAGAAAUUCCGUCUAAUACCGCGUAACAACCCGAGGAGGCAUCUCCUCGGGUUUAAAGGAAGCGAUUCCGGCUACGGAUGGUCAUGCGUCGCAUUAGCUAGUUGGCGGGGUAACGGCCCACCAAGGCGACGAUGCGUAGGGGUUCUGAGAGGAAGGUCCCCCACACUGGUACUGAGACACGGACCAGACUCCUACGGGAGGCAGCAG
This 276-nucleotide ribosomal RNA is filed under the name uncultured bacterium. Its description in RNAcentral is "partial 16S ribosomal RNA". It matches the Rfam family "Bacterial small subunit ribosomal RNA", at positions 82 to 354 of the family's 1533-position model. The record is from RNAcentral.